UUGUCUCAAAGAUUAAGCCAUGCAUGUCUCAGUACAAGCCGCAUUAAGGUGAAACCGCGAAAGGCUCAUUAAAUCAGUUAUGGUUCCUUAGAUCGUACCCACACUUACUUGGAUAACUGUGGUAAUUCUAGAGCUAAUACAUGCAAACAGAGCUCCGACCGGAGACGGGAGGAGUGCUUUUAUUAGAUCAAAACCAAUCGGCGGCGGGCGCGUCCGCGCGUCCGUUCGCCGCUCUACCUGGUGACUCUGAAUAACUUUACGCUGAUCGCACGGUCUCGCACCGGCGACGCAUCUUUCAAAUGUCUGCCUUAUCAACUGUCGAUGGUAGGUUCUGCGCCUACCAUGGUCGUAACGGGUAACGGGGAAUCAGGGUUCGAUUCCGGAGAGGGAGCCUGAGAAACGGCUACCACAUCCAAGGAAGGCAGCAGGCGCGCAAAUUACCCACUCCCGGCACGGGGAGGUAGUGACGAAAAAUAACGAUACGGGACUCAUCCGAGGCCCCGUAAUCGGAAUGAGUACACUUUAAAUCCUUUAACGAGGACCAAUUGGAGGGCAAGUCUGGUGCCAGCAGCCGCGGUAAUUCCAGCUCCAAUAGCGU
Molecule: ribosomal RNA, 598 nt
Filed under: Tiporus josepheni
Lineage: Eukaryota; Metazoa; Arthropoda; Insecta; Coleoptera; Dytiscidae
Description: SSU rRNA
Rfam family: Eukaryotic small subunit ribosomal RNA
Source: RNAcentral